UACGAAGGGUGCAAACGUUGCUCGGAAUUAUUGGGCGUAAAGCGCACGUAGGCGGCAUUGCAAGUCCCAUGUGAAAUCCCACGGCUUAACCGUGGAAGUGCAUGGGAAACUGCAGUGCUUGAGUACUUAAGAGGAUCGCGGAAUUCCCGGUGUAGAGGUGAAAUUCGUAGAUAUCGGGAGGAACACCAGUGGCGAAGGCGGCGAUCUGGGAAGAUACUGACGCUGAGGAGCGAAAGCGUGGGGAGCGAACAGG
Molecule: ribosomal RNA, 253 nt
Filed under: uncultured bacterium
Lineage: Bacteria
Description: partial 16S ribosomal RNA
Rfam family: Bacterial small subunit ribosomal RNA
Source: RNAcentral